Molecule: ribosomal RNA, 831 nt
Filed under: Gomphonema parvulum
Lineage: Eukaryota; Bacillariophyta; Bacillariophyceae; Cymbellales; Gomphonemataceae
Description: eukaryotic LSU rRNA
Rfam family: 5.8S ribosomal RNA (bases 348-503)
Source: RNAcentral
AAAGUCGUAACAAGGUUUCCGUAGGUGAACCUGCGGAAGGAUCAUUACCACACCGAUCCAAGCUUUGGUCGCUCUUGGAGCAAGUAAUGCAGUGCAUGCGCUGUGUUCAUGAUUCUUUUGAGUAUGAUUCUUUUGAGUGAUUCUUUUGAGUGAUUCUUUUGAGUAUUGAUUCUGAGGGCUUUUGAUUCUUUUGAGUGAUUCUUUUGAGUAUGAUUCUUUUGAGUAUAAACCCUUUUGUUUAGCCUGGUUCUGUGUCCUUCGGGAUGUGGAGUUGGGUUUUUCAAAAACUAACCGGAAAGACAAACAUAUCUAAGUCCCGCGAAGCCAAGCGGUUAUGGCGAAAGUACAACUUUCAGCAACGGAUGUCUAGGGUCUCGCAUCGAUGAAGAACGCAGCGAAAUGUGAUACGUAAUGCGAAUUGCAAAGCUUUGUGAAUCAUUGAAAUUUUGAACGCAUAUUGCGCUUGCAGGAUUUUUCCUGGGAGCAUGCAUGUCUGAGUGUCAGCAAACACCACUCAGCGCCUUUGCUUGCAAGGGUUGCUGGAUUCUUGCAUUGGUUUAUGAAAAUAAACACUGUGCAUAAGUGUAGACAAGAGGAUUUCAGAGUAGGUUAUCGAGCCGCGUGAUUUCUAUUUCUGUAUGUUCGCUUCUGUGUUCAUAUGAAAAUUGGGGUCGCAAAGUGUUGACGUAAUUAUUUCUCAGUUAUCGGCUUGAUGGGGAAAUUUAUUUCUCCAAAAUUUUUUACUGCGACGCAAGUUGUGGUGAAGAAUUUGCUUUCAUCUCUGAUCUCAGAUCAUGUAAGAAAACCCGCUGAAUUUAAGCAUAUCAAUAA